GAUGAACGCUAGCGGCAGGCCUAACACAUGCAAGUCGAGGGAGGAGCUUUCGGGCUUCGACCGGCGUACGGGUGCGUAACGCGUAUACAAUCUGCCUUUCACAUAGGGAUAGCCCGAAGAAAUUUGGAUUAAUACCUAAUGGUAUAUAGAGGUGGCAUCACCUUUAUAUUAAAGCUGAGGCGGUGAAAGGUGAGUAUGCGUUCUAUUAGCUAGUUGGAGAGGUAACGGCUCCCCAAGGCGACGAUAGAUAGGGGUUCUGAGAGGGAUAUCCCCCACACUGGUACUGAGAUACGGACCAGACUCCUACGGGAGGCAGCAGUGAGGAAUAUGGGACAAUGGUCGGAAGACUGAUCCAGCCAUGCCGCGUGCAGGAAGACGGCCUUAUGGGUUGUAAACUGCUUUUGCAGGGGAAGAAUAAGGACUACGCGUAGUUUGAUGACGGUACUCUGCGAAUAAGCAUCGGCUAACUCCGUG
RNAcentral lists this ribosomal RNA (474 nucleotides) under uncultured bacterium. Its description in RNAcentral is "partial 16S ribosomal RNA". It matches the Rfam family "Bacterial small subunit ribosomal RNA", at positions 28 to 507 of the family's 1533-position model. The record is from RNAcentral.